GCUACACAUGCAGUCGACGAGACCUUCGGGUCUAGUGGCGGACGGGUGAGUAACGCGUGGGAACAUACCCUUUGGUACGGAAUAGCCUCGGGAAACUGGGAGUAAUACCGUAUGUGCCCUUCGGGGGAAAGAUUUAUCGCCAAAGGAUUGGCCCGCGUUGGAUUAGGUAGUUGGUGGGGUAAUGGCCUACCAAGCCGACGAUCCAUAGCUGGUUUGAGAGGAUGAUCAGCCACACUGGGACUGAGACACGGCCCAGACUCCUACGGGAGGCAGCAGUGGGGAAUCUUAGACAAUGGGCGCAAGCCUGAUCUAGCCAUGCCGCGUGAUCGAUGAAGGCCUUAGGGUUGUAAAGAUCUUUCAGAUGGGAAGAUAAUGACGGUACCAUCAGAAGAAGCCCCGGCUAACUCCGUGCCAGCNGCCGCGGUAAUACGGAGGGGGCUAGCGUUAUUCGGAAUUACUGGG
This 462-nucleotide ribosomal RNA is filed under the name bacterium fme09x25p140. RNAcentral's name for it is "bacterial SSU rRNA". It matches the Rfam family "Bacterial small subunit ribosomal RNA", at positions 48 to 558 of the family's 1533-position model. The record is from RNAcentral.